GACGAACGCUGGCGGCGCGCCUAACACAUGCAAGUCGAACGAGCGAGAGAGGGCUUGCUUUCUUGAGCGAGUGGCGAACGGGUGAGUAACGCGUGAGGAACCUGCCUCAAAGAGGGGGACAACAGUUGGAAACGACUGCUAAUACCGCAUAAGCCCACGGUGCCGCAUGGCACAGAGGGAAAAGGAGCAAUCCGCUUUGAGAUGGCCUCGCGUCCGAUUAGCUAGUUGGUGAGGUAACGGCCCACCAAGGCGACGAUCGGUAGCCGGACUGAGAGGUUGAACGGCCACAUUGGGACUGAGACACGGCCCAGACUCCUACGGGAGGCAGCAGUGGGGAAUAUUGCACAAUGGGGGAAACCCUGAUGCAGCGACGCCGCGUGGAGGAAGAAGGUCUUCGGAUUGUAAACUCCUGUUGUUGGGGAAGAUAAUGACGGUACCCAACAAGGAAGUGACGGCUAACUACGUG
RNAcentral lists this ribosomal RNA (466 nucleotides) under uncultured bacterium. RNAcentral describes it as "partial 16S ribosomal RNA". It matches the Rfam family "Bacterial small subunit ribosomal RNA", at positions 28 to 507 of the family's 1533-position model. The record is from RNAcentral.